CCUACGGGCGGCUGCAGUGGGGAAUAUUGCACAAUGGGGGAAACCCUGAUGCAGCGACGCCGCGUGAGUGAAGAAGUAUCUCGGUACGUAAAGCUCUAUCAGCAGGGAAGAAAAUGACGGUACCUGACUAAGAAGCCCCGUCUAACUACGUGCCAGCAGCCGCGGCAAUACGUAGGGGGCAAGCGUUAUCCGGAUUUACUGGGUUUAAAGGGAGCGUAGACGGCAGCACAAGUCGGGAGUGAAAUCCCGGGGCUUAACCCCGGAAUUGCGUUGGAAACUGGGCGGCUGGAGUGCAGUUGGGGUAAGCGGAAUUCCUAGUGUAGCGGUGAAAUGCGUAGAUAUUAGGAGGAACACCGGUGGCGAAGGCGGCUUACUGGACUGUAACUGACGUUGAGGCUCGAAAGCGUGGGGAGCAAACAGGAUUAGAUACCCUAGUAGUC
This 440-nucleotide ribosomal RNA is filed under the name uncultured bacterium. RNAcentral's name for it is "partial 16S ribosomal RNA". It matches the Rfam family "Bacterial small subunit ribosomal RNA", at positions 338 to 795 of the family's 1533-position model. The record is from RNAcentral.